GACCCGUCUUGAAGCACGGACCAAGGAGUCCAACAUGUGCGCGAGUCUAAGGGUGAUUUAAACCUGGAGGCGAAAUGAAAGUGAGCUCCUUUUGGGGCAGGCCGAUCCCCUGUGGUUGAGUGGUGCGUUCUGUUCCAGCGGCAAUUGUGUUUGCUGUUGGUUUUGGGGCGUGUCGUUCUUCUACGGCUCCGUGCGGUUGCGUGCGGGGAGAUGGGGCGCAGGCCGAGGACUUGCCUUAGUGCGGCGCGGGCAACGGGAGGUCACCCUGUGGCUUCCUUAUCCCGAUGUGCGCCGGCAAGUACCUGAGAGCGCAGCCGUUGGGACCCGAAAGAUGGUGAACUAUGCCUGGCGAGGACGAAGCCAGAGGAAACUCUGGUGGAGGUCCGAAGCAGUUCUGACGUGCAAAUCGAUUGUCAGAGCUGGGUAUAGGGGCGAAAGACUAAUCGAACCAUCUAGUAGCUGGUUCCUUCCGA
RNAcentral lists this ribosomal RNA (473 nucleotides) under Macrobrachium pilimanus. Its description in RNAcentral is "eukaryotic LSU rRNA". It matches the Rfam family "Eukaryotic large subunit ribosomal RNA", at positions 646 to 964 of the family's 3401-position model. The record is from RNAcentral. Lineage: Eukaryota; Metazoa; Arthropoda; Malacostraca; Decapoda; Palaemonidae.